Molecule: ribosomal RNA, 388 nt
Filed under: uncultured bacterium
Lineage: Bacteria
Description: bacterial SSU rRNA
Rfam family: Bacterial small subunit ribosomal RNA
Source: RNAcentral
GACGAACGCUGGCGGCGUGCUUAACACAUGCAAGUCGAGCGGUAAGGCCCUUUCGGGGGUACACGAGCGGCGAACGGGUGAGUAACACGUGGGUGACCUGCCCUUAGCUCUGGGAUAAGCCUGGGAAACUGGGUCUAACACCGGAUAUGACUCCAUGACGCAUGUUGUGGGGUGGAAAGCCUUGUGCGGCUAGGGAUGGGCCCGCGGCCUAUCAGCUUGUUGGUGGGGUGAUGGCCUACCAAGGCGACGACGGGUAGCCGGCCUGAGAGGGCGACCGGCCACACUGGGACUGAGACACGGCCCAGACUCCUACGGGAGGCAGCAGUGGGGAAUCUUGCGCAAUGGGCGAAAGCCUGACGCAGCGACGCCGCGUGAGGGAUGACGGCCU